Molecule: unclassified non-coding RNA, 295 nt
Filed under: Hevea brasiliensis (rubber tree)
Lineage: Eukaryota; Viridiplantae; Streptophyta; Magnoliopsida; Malpighiales; Euphorbiaceae
Source: RNAcentral
GUUUUGAACAGUUUCUAACAAAAUAUUAUAAAAAUCCGAUUGUUCAGCCACAGCCAGUGAAUGCAUGAUUGAAACAGAAUUUACAUGAGUAGGUUCUCCACGUACACAUCCAAUUCAUAAAUAUGAAGGCAGAACACUAAAAACCAAAAAUAAAAUGGAAUGCACCAUAUAUCACACAUGUAGUCAGGUAUUAAUACAUACAUAUGUACAAAUUGAAGAUUCAGGCACUUCAUCUAAGAAAAAAAAGAUUCAUGUACUAGCCAGGAACAUAAUAAUCCAUCUUUUCCACAGGCAG